Small nucleolar RNA from Setaria italica (foxtail millet), 89 nucleotides. It matches the Rfam family "Small nucleolar RNA R160". From Rfam's summary of the family: snoR160 is a C/D box small nucleolar RNA, which acts as a methylation guide for 25S ribosomal RNA in plants. snoR160 has been alternatively named snoZ270 in rice. NCBI's taxonomy places the organism in Eukaryota, Viridiplantae, Streptophyta, Magnoliopsida, Poales, Poaceae. The record is from Rfam.
AGCAAAAUGAGGAAGCUAUACCAUCUGAAACUAACUGUGCUGUUGUCUGUUGAUGAUUCUUGGAUGGUCUUCAAAGUUCUCUGAUUGCU